RNAcentral lists this ribosomal RNA (311 nucleotides) under Leptobelus sauteri. Its description in RNAcentral is "partial 12S small subunit ribosomal RNA". The record is from RNAcentral. Lineage: Eukaryota; Metazoa; Arthropoda; Insecta; Hemiptera; Membracidae.
CUUGAAUAAAAGUAGUAUUUGGUCUUCAUAACUCAAAGAAUUUGGCGGUUAGUUAUUUAUCAGAGGAUCCUGUAUAUUGAUUGAUAAACCACGAUAGUUUAUACUUUUUAUUUACUUAUAUAUCUCUAUAUUUAUGAAUGUUUUAUUAGAAAUAUUUUCUUUUGGAUUAAUCGUUAAUUUUAGGUCAAGGUGUAGUUUUUAUUAUAGUUUAUAUGGGUUAUUUUAGUUUAAAUUAUAAUUUUAUUUAAUCUGGUUUAGUUUAUAUUUUUAGAUUUGAUAGUAAAUUUAAUUAAUUAAUUAUUUUGAACUUA